RNAcentral lists this ribosomal RNA (421 nucleotides) under uncultured bacterium. RNAcentral's name for it is "partial 16S ribosomal RNA". It matches the Rfam family "Bacterial small subunit ribosomal RNA", at positions 360 to 773 of the family's 1533-position model. The record is from RNAcentral.
AAUAUUGCACAAUGGGGGAAACCCUGAUGCAGCCAUGCCGCGUGUGUGAAGAAGGCCUUCGGGUUGUAAAGCACUUUCAGUGGUGAGGAAAGGCAGGAACCUAAUACGUUUUUGCUGUGACGUUAACCACAGAAGAAGCACCGGCUAACUCCGUGCCAGCAGCCGCGGUAACACGGAGGGUGCAAGCGUUAAUCGGAAUAACCGGGCGGAAAGCGCAAGCCGGCCGUUUGGUAAAGCAGAUUGGAAAGCCCCGAGCUUCACUCCGGAACUGGCAUUGGAACUGGCAAACUAGAGUCUUGUAGAGGGGGGUAGAAUUUCCAGUGUAGCGGUAAAAUGCGUAGAGAUUGGAAGGAAUACCAGUGGCGAAGGCGGCCCCCUGGACAAAGACUGACGCUCAUGUGCGAAAGCGUGGGGAGCAAAC